CACAAUUCACCUGCUGAGGUGCAAUAAAAUGAAUAUGUGUAUCCAGUCCUCCUGCUGUUACAAUCAUCCCUUCUCCUGCUAAUGCCUCAGUUGCAGCUCCAACUGUCAUUCCAGGAGUAACACCGUCCAUAAUACUUGGGUUUCCUGCUUUUCCUAUCCCUGCAAUUUUUCCGUUUUUAAUUCCGAUAUCUGCUUUAUAAAUUCCUGUAUAAUCCACAAUUAGACAAUUGGUAAUAACCAAAUCUAAAUCUCCAUCUGCACUUGUUGUCUUUACCGACUGUCCCAUACCAUCACGCAG
Small RNA from Clostridiales bacterium CHKCI001, 298 nucleotides. It matches the Rfam family "5' ureB small RNA". The record is from Rfam. Lineage: Bacteria; Bacillati; Bacillota; Clostridia; Eubacteriales.